Molecule: ribosomal RNA, 774 nt
Filed under: uncultured Neocallimastigales
Lineage: Eukaryota; Fungi; Neocallimastigomycota; Neocallimastigomycetes; Neocallimastigales
Description: partial large subunit ribosomal RNA
Rfam family: Eukaryotic large subunit ribosomal RNA
Source: RNAcentral
UACUAGAGUAGCACUCGCAUAUCAAUAAGCGGAGGAAAAGAAACUAACAAGGAUUCCCCUAGUAACGGCGAGUGAAGCGGGAAGAGCUCAAAUUUGAAAUCUUAAAGGGUUUCCCUUUACGAAUUGUAGUUUAAAGAAGUGUUUUCUGUUGAGGUUUUGGUAAAAGUUCUUUGGAAUAGGACAUCAUAGAGGGUGAGAAUCCCGUAUUUGACCUUUACUUUCAACUUUGUGAUACACUUUCAAAGAGUCGGAUUGUUUGGGAAUGCAGUCCAAAAUGGGUGGUAAAUUUCAUCUAAAGCUAAAUAUUGGCGAGAGACCGAUAGCGAACAAGUACCGUGAGGGAAAGAUGAAAAGAACUUUGAAAAGAGAGUUAAACAGUACGUGAAAUUGUCAAAAGGGAAGCGUUUGACACCAGUGUUGUUUUUCUGAAAAUCAAUUAAAGAACUGUUUAUGCUAAGUUGUUUAGACUUUAUCAGCUAACUGUUUAGUUUUGAGCUUUUCUUUAAUGCACUUUUCAGUUAACAAGUCAACAUCAAUUUCUUUUGCUGUAAAAAAGCUUGAGGAAGGUGGCUUGAGAUUCGUCUUAAGUGUUUAUAGCCUCUCGCCUAUGCAGUCGGAGAGAUUGAGGUCUGCAGCGUAGAUCCUUCGGGGCUAAAUGCAUUUGUGCUAAGUUAUAGCAUUUUAUAGACAACUUGUUGACUAUGAUUUGUCUUGUAGCUUACUCGCUUAUGUUAUUUUACCUACGCUUAGGAUGUUGAGUCAUCACACAUCUCU